Molecule: long non-coding RNA, 1525 nt
Filed under: Calidris pugnax (ruff)
Lineage: Eukaryota; Metazoa; Chordata; Aves; Charadriiformes; Scolopacidae
Description: lncRNA (ENSCPUG00000010620.1)
Source: RNAcentral
CCUCCCAGACGGAGGCCGCCAGCCCCAGGCGCGGCCCGUGGUGCUGGGCGAUGCGGAGGACGCGCCCGCACAGCCGGUACCGCCGCUCCACCGGGAAGGCGUCGGCGAAGAGCUCGGGGUCGCGGGGGAACACGGACCGCAGCGCCUCGGGCCCGGGCUCCUCUUCCUCUUCCGCUUCCUCUUCCGCUUCCUCUUCGGUUUCCGACUCCGCUUCCCCCCCCUCGACCCCCGCCGCCGCCGCCUCCCGCCGGAGCCGGAGCCCCACGUGGCACCCGGACGCAGCCAUCUUGGCGGAGGGGACGGGGCCGCUCCCGCCGCUCGCGAUUGGUCAGCCCACGGAGGGGGCGGGGUCUGGAGCUCCGCCCACGCCCCCCCCGACUCGGACCCGGGUUCGUGUCCCCGGACUGGUCCCCAGUGUCACCUGCCACCUCUCUGAUGUCCCCAGCCACCUCCCAGUGUCCUCCGUGUCCCCUGCCCCGUCCCGGUGUCCCCAUCGCCAUCUCUGGUGUCCCCUACUCCAUCUCUGCUGUCCCCUGUCCUGUCCCCGUGUCCCCUGUACCAUCUCCAGUGUCCCCCCCUCCGUCUCUGGUGUCCCCUAUCCUGUCCCCAUGUCCCCUGUACCAUCUCCAGUGUCCCCCACUCCGUCUCUGAUGUCCCCUAUCCUGUUCCUGUGUCCCCAUCACCAUCUCCAGUGUCCCCUGCUCCAUCUCUGGUGUCCCCUGUCCAGUCCCCGUGUCCCCCCGUGUACCAUCUCCAGUGUCCUCUGCUCCGUCUCUGGUGUCCCCUAGCCUCGUCCCAGGGUCCCCAUCAUCAUCUCCAGUGUCCCCAUCACCAUCUCUGGUGUCCCCUGUCCUGUCCCCAUGUCCCCUGCUCCACCUCCAGUGUCCCCCGCUCCAUCUCUGGUGUCCCUAUCACCAUCUCCAGUGUCCCCUACUCCAUCUCUGAUGUCCCCUGCCCCGUCCUGGUGUCCCCAUCGCCAUCUCCAGUGUCCCCUGCUUCAUCUCUCGUGUCCCCUGCCCUGUCCUGGUGUCACCAUCUCCAGUAUCUCCUGUUCCAUCUCUGGUGUCCCCUGCCCUGUACAGUGUCCCCAUAACCAUCUCUGGUGUCCUUUGUCCCAUCCCAGUGUCCCCAUCACCAUUUCCAGUGUCCCCUGCUCCAUCUCUGGUGUCCCCUGUCCUGUCCCCAUGUACCCUGCUCCAUCUCCAGUCUCCCCUGCUCCAUCUCUAUUGUCCCCUGCCCCAUCCCCUGUACCAUCUCCAGUGUCCCCUGUUCCACCUCUGGUGUCCCCUGUCCUGUCCCCAUGUCCCCUGCCCCAGGUGUCAGGUGUCCCCAGGCCCAUCCCCAGUGUCUCCUACCUGACCCAGUGUCCCCCUGGGGUGGCACCUGGCCAGUGUGAGGUUCUAGGGUACUGGGAGGCACUGGGAGCACCAGAGUAACACAAGGACCCUGGGGCCCUGGGAGGUACUGGGAGACACUGGGGGGACUGGGAGGCACUGAGGGGACUGGGGCAGCAGUGGGGACACUG